This 564-nucleotide ribosomal RNA is filed under the name Streptomyces sp. 343H07. Its description in RNAcentral is "bacterial SSU rRNA". It matches the Rfam family "Bacterial small subunit ribosomal RNA", at positions 93 to 671 of the family's 1533-position model. Lineage: Bacteria; Bacillati; Actinomycetota; Actinomycetes; Kitasatosporales; Streptomycetaceae. The record is from RNAcentral.
CAGUGGCGAACGGGUGAGUAACACGUGGGCAAUCUGCCCUGCACUCUGGGACAACACCGGGAAACCGGUGCUAAUACCGGAUAUGACGCAUCUCUGCAUGGGGGUGCGUGGAAAGCUCCGGCGGUGCAGGAUGAGCCCGCGGCCUAUCAGCUUGUUGGUGGGGUGAUGGCCUACCAAGGCGACGACGGGUAGCCGGCCUGAGAGGGCGACCGGCCACACUGGGACUGAGACACGGCCCAGACUCCUACGGGAGGCAGCAGUGGGGAAUAUUGCACAAUGGGCGAAAGCCUGAUGCAGCGACGCCGCGUGAGGGAUGACGGCCUUCGGGUUGUAAACCUCUUUCAGCAGGGAAGAAGCGCAAGUGACGGUACCUGCAGAAGAAGCACCGGCUAACUACGUGCCAGCAGCCGCGGUAAUACGUAGGGUGCGAGCGUUGUCCGGAAUUAUUGGGCGUAAAGAGCUCGUAGGCGGCCUGUCGCGUCGGAUGUGAAAGCCCGGGGCUUAACCCCGGGUCUGCAUUCGAUACGGGCAGGCUAGAGUUCGGUAGGGGAGAUCGGAAUUCCU